RNAcentral lists this ribosomal RNA (579 nucleotides) under uncultured bacterium. Its description in RNAcentral is "partial 16S ribosomal RNA". It matches the Rfam family "Bacterial small subunit ribosomal RNA", at positions 355 to 932 of the family's 1533-position model. The record is from RNAcentral.
UGGGGAAUUUUGGACAAUGGGCGAAAGCCUGAUCCAGCAAUGCCGCGUGUGUGAAGAAGGCCUUCGGGUUGUAAAGCACUUUUGUCCGGAAAGAAAUCCUUGGCUCUAAUACAGUCGGGGGAUGACGGUACCGGAAGAAUGAGCACCGGCUAACUACGUGCCAGCAGCCGCGGUAAUACGUAGGGUGCAAGCGUUAAUCGGAAUUACUGGGCGUAAAGCGUGCGCAGGCGGUUUGCUAAGACCGAUGUGAAAUCCCCGGGCUCAACCUGGGAACUGCAUUGGUGACUGGCAGGCUAGAGUAUGGCAGAGGGGGGUAGAAUUCCACGUGUAGCAGUGAAAUGCGUAGAGAUGUGGAGGAAUACCGAUGGCGAAGGCAGCCCCCUGGGCCAAUACUGACGCUCAUGCACGAAAGCGUGGGGAGCAAACAGGAUUAGAUACCCUGGUAGUCCACGCCCUAAACGAUGUCAACUAGUUGUUGGGGAUUCAUUUCCUUAGUAACGUAGCUAACGCGUGAAGUUGACCGCCUGGGGAGUACGGUCGCAAGAUUAAAACUCAAAUGAAUUGACGGGGUCAUAGCUG